UACGUAGGGGGCAAGCGUUGUCCGGAAUUAUUGGGCGUAAAGCGCGCGCAGGCGGUCAUUUAAGUUUGGUGUUUAAUCCCGGAGCUCAACUCCGGGUCGCACUGAAAACUGGGUGACUUGAGUACAGAAGAGGAGAGUGGAAUUCCACGUGUAGCGGUGAAAUGCGUAGAUAUGUGGAGGAACACCAGUGGCGAAGGCGACUCUCUGGGCUGUAAACUGACGCUGGAGGCGCGAAAGCGUGGGGAGCAAACAGG
This 254-nucleotide ribosomal RNA is filed under the name uncultured bacterium. RNAcentral describes it as "partial 16S ribosomal RNA". It matches the Rfam family "Bacterial small subunit ribosomal RNA", at positions 524 to 776 of the family's 1533-position model. The record is from RNAcentral.